AGCUUCAUAGCGCAGUGGAAGCGCGCCGGGCUCAUAACCCGGCGGUCCUCCGAUCGAAACGGAGUAGAGCUA
This 72-nucleotide transfer RNA is filed under the name Hypoxylon cercidicola. Its description in RNAcentral is "tRNA-Met". It matches the Rfam family "tRNA". Rfam says of the family: Transfer RNA (tRNA) molecules are approximately 80 nucleotides in length. Their secondary structure includes four short double-helical elements and three loops (D, anti-codon, and T loops). The record is from RNAcentral. Lineage: Eukaryota; Fungi; Ascomycota; Sordariomycetes; Xylariales; Hypoxylaceae.